GUCAGACUUGAGCUCGGGCGUAGCGGCUAGACCGGGCUGUGGCGAUAGAGUCCAAAGAUGGAGGAAGGAGGUCCCAAGCCAAGGAAUGCAGCAUGGGCCUCUAGAAGCUGGAAUGACCCUCACCUCACGGCCAGCAAGAAAUCAGGGAACUCAGUCUUACCCGAGUGAGCAGGAAAUCGAUUCUCCUCUGCAGCCUCUAUAGAGAACACAGCCUGUCAACACCCUGAUUUUGGCCCAAUGAGCCCUGUACCUCCAGAAGUGUAACGUAAUAAAUUUGUGUUGUUUUAAGCUAUUAAGCUGUGGUUAAUUUGUUAUGGCGCCAAGAGAAAACUAACAUGACACAUACUUCUCUAUAUAUUCUUCCCUUCUAG
RNAcentral lists this long non-coding RNA (371 nucleotides) under Homo sapiens (human). RNAcentral's name for it is "HSALNT0249944". Lineage: Eukaryota; Metazoa; Chordata; Mammalia; Primates; Hominidae. The record is from RNAcentral.